AAAAAAUCAUUGAAGAAAAGAGUUUUCUGUUAGAUUUCAACCAUCAAACACUAAACGAAAAGUAGAUUUAUUAACAAUCACAGGAAACUUAAAAGGUGGAAGGGAGAUGGCCAAGGAGUGUCGCGAUGCAAUAGGUACUAUAAACCUUGUGAAGGGCCAGCAUUUAGACAGAAGGACCACUAAUCAAUUGGAGGAUGCUAUAAAGCACCUAACACAUGUUGCUGUAUUUCUCACAAAUCUGGAGAAGCGUCACCCUGCUAAUGGAAUAUCUGUACAUCUUAGGCCUCUAUU
This 291-nucleotide unclassified non-coding RNA is filed under the name Hevea brasiliensis (rubber tree). The record is from RNAcentral. Lineage: Eukaryota; Viridiplantae; Streptophyta; Magnoliopsida; Malpighiales; Euphorbiaceae.